RNAcentral lists this long non-coding RNA (1507 nucleotides) under Equus caballus (horse). Its description in RNAcentral is "lncRNA (ENSECAG00000040150.3)". Lineage: Eukaryota; Metazoa; Chordata; Mammalia; Perissodactyla; Equidae. The record is from RNAcentral.
CAUCAUUUCUGUAGCCAGCGGUUCUGAACCUUGGCUACACAUUAGAAUCAGCUGAGGAACUUACACUUCUCUGCCAGGCUCCCCACCUCCCCCAGGAUCUGACUUAAGCGGUCUGGAAAGUGGCCCAGGCAUAACCAUUUGGGGGACCCUGGUGAUUCUCAUGGGCAGGUAGAGCCUGGGAACCACUGGGAAGCCCUGGCUUGGUCUCCAAAGCACAGGUUCUAAGGAGAGUAAAUGGAAGCUAGAAAAGGAGGAUGGUGGAAGAAACGAGACUUAGAAAUAAAGGAUUAAAGAGAAACUAAUCAGGACACAAAAUGCAAAGACGAAAAGGUUGAGAACUCCUCCCACCUCAAAAUAGCUUUUCUUUCACACCAGGCACUAGUUAGCUGCAAAAAUGUGAUCUCUACACAGAAGUUGAUAAUAAGAGGCCGCUCCCAAAGCUGCUGGAGCAGGUGUUUCCUCCCAAAAGAGGGCGGGCCAGAACUAUAAAUCUCAUUUUGGAAGUUUCAAGCCCUGGGGAUACUAUUCUGCGUUGCUGCCACUCUCGCUGCCAUCUGUACCGAAUCUCAGCUCCCGUUUCUGGGGCAGCCCUCCAUCCAACUGGCAGCCCCACAGUUUGCAUUCUUGCACAGUGUGUGAAUGGAGGGGGAGAGCCUUUGGCAAGGCAGCCCUGGGGUCUCCUUCCCUCAAAAGAUUUGCCAGUGAUCCUUGCCCUGCUGGCUUCCUCUUUAAUUGGCCCACGCUGUGGGGAGCAAUUGAGAUUAAAUGGCCGCUUGCUGGGUGGCUGUGCUGUGCUAGGCGUGCGUGGCCCUAUUUGGAGCAUUUGUUGUAUCCAGGAUUGAAUGAAGCAAGUGCUGCUGCUGAAGCUCGCGGGGUGUUCCUUGAAGCCAUGUCAAAGCAGGCUCUUAAUUUUGCAAAACAGCCUCCAAAGUCAAACUGGCUCUGUACCGGAGCCAUUCCGGGCAGAGGGAUGUCACGAGCAGAAGCCAGAAGGCACAGAAAGAAGUGGGCAGAAGGAAAUUUAGGGCUAUGAAUCAAGAAAAUAGGUUAUUGUGCAACUGCCAGCUUGCUUUGAAUAGCCAGCAAGGACAGGGAGGGAUCCCCCUCCAUUCAUAGAGUUCAGCCCAACGUGCUGGGAUAUCACUAAAUGGAAAAGAAGAGCAUCCAGGACAAUCAGCCUGUGAGAGGUGAGAUUAAUCUCUCUGGGAGAAGAAGUUGCCGUGUUAUGAACAGCUCUAGGAAAGGCCCAAGUUGUAAAGAACUGAAGCCUCUGGAUGAUAGCUAGUAAGGACCUGAAGGCUUCAAUACAACAGACUGAAGUAACUGAGGCCUGCCAAUGACCACGUGAGUGAGCUUGGAAACAGAGUCUCCAUCCUCAGUCAAGCCUUGAGGUGACUGCAACCUCCUAAGAGACUCUGAACAAGAACCCCCUAGCUCAGCCACUCCCAGAUUACUGGCCCUCAAAAACUCUGUGAGAUAAUAAAUGUUUGGUGUUUUAACCUGUGAA